This 451-nucleotide ribosomal RNA is filed under the name uncultured Lachnospiraceae bacterium. Its description in RNAcentral is "partial 16S ribosomal RNA". It matches the Rfam family "Bacterial small subunit ribosomal RNA", at positions 341 to 792 of the family's 1533-position model. Lineage: Bacteria; Bacillati; Bacillota; Clostridia; Lachnospirales; Lachnospiraceae. The record is from RNAcentral.
ACGGGAGGCAGCAGUAGGGAAUAUUGCACAAUGGGGGGAACCCUGAUGCAGCAACGCCACGUGUGGGAAGAAGCAUUUCGGUGUGUAAACCACUGUCGUGAGGGAAUAAUGCUUAAUUUCGGUUAAGUUGAAUGUACCUCGAAAGGAAGCACCGGCAAACUUCGUGCCAGCAGCCGCGGUAAUACGUAGGGGGCAAGCGUUAUCCGGAUUUACUGGGUGUAAAGGGAGCGUAGACGGCAAGGUAAGUCUGAAGUGAAAUGCCGGGGCUCAACCCCGGAACUGCUUUGGAAACUAUCUCGCUCGAGUACCGGAGGGGUAAGCGGAAUUCCUAGUGUAGCGGUGAAAUGCGUAGAUAUUAGGAGGAACACCAGUGGCGAAGGCGGCUUACUGGACGGUAACUGACGUUGAGGCUCGAAAGCGUGGGGAGCAAACAGGAUUAGAUACCCUGGUA